UACAGAGGUCCCGAGCGUUGUUCGGAUUCAUUGGGCGUAAAGGGUGCGUAGGCGGCAUGGCAAGUCGGGUGUGAAAUCCCGGGGCUCAACCCCGGAACUGCACUCGAUACUGCCGUGCUCGAGUACUGGAGAGGAGACUGGAAUUUACGGUGUAGCAGUGAAAUGCGUAGAUAUCGUAAGGAAGACCGGUGGCGAAAGCUAGUCUCUGGACAGUUACUGACGCUGAGGCACGAAGGCCAGGGGAGCAAACGGG
Molecule: ribosomal RNA, 253 nt
Filed under: uncultured bacterium
Lineage: Bacteria
Description: partial 16S ribosomal RNA
Rfam family: Bacterial small subunit ribosomal RNA
Source: RNAcentral